UGGGUGAGUUGUGUUUGAGGUGGGUAACAUAGUUUGGAAUACAUGUACAUUUUAACCUUUCAUAUUGUUGCAAAUAUAAUAUAUUCCUUCCUUUUAAUGAGAUUGGAGCACAUGAUGUGUAAUUUUAUGGUUUUUAGGAUUAUGAGAAUGUUUGAAAUGUAUGCUGCUCUAACUGUUAGACUGUAAAUAACUGCCAUAACUGAACCAACUGAAAAUAACUGCCUCAGGCACAUGACAUCACAGAGUUCUAUAGCCCUUGUGAGCAUUAACCCUUUCCUUAGCAUUUUGGAUGCUUUCAUCCCACAUUUAUAUGCCACCUUUCUCCCAGUUUGGGAUUCAGUGCAGCUUACAAUUAAAAACAACAUUACUGAAAACAGAGUAAUAAAAACAAAUGAGUUAAAAUACAAUAAAACACAUCCAGAACCAGCAUUAAAAUACUGAUUUCCUUGAUAGCAGUCCACUGGUCAACCGUGUCUGCAUCUUAGUUUCCAAAGGCCUGUCUGAAGAGGAGGAACGCCUUAGCCUGCCAGCAGAAGGAUAACAAGGGAACCAAUCUAACCUCUUUUGGGAAGGAGUUCCACAAGACGGGAGCAGCCACAGAAAAGGCUCUCUUUCGUGGCACAACUAACCAUUGUUGAUGGAACCAAGAGAAGGUGCUCACCCAAAGAUUUUAGCACUCAGUGAGUUUCAUAUAGGGAGACAUGAUCUUUCAAGUAGUGGGGACCAAGCCAUAUAGGGCUUUAUAGGUCAUAACCAGCACUUGGAAUUGUGCCCAGAAAUAGACCAGGAGCCAGUUAACAGGGGACUAGCAUGUUCCCUGUAACCAGUCCCGGAAAGCAAUCAGGCCGCAGCAUUCUGGACCAGCUGAAGCUUCCAAACAACUUUCAAUGACAUGCCUGCAUAGAUCAAAUAGAGAAGAGGGGGCCUGGAAAUGAGAGAUGAGAGAGCCGUUGCUGCCAGUCAGUGUAGGCAGGCCUGACUCAGUAUAAAGCAGUUCCCUUUGCUUCUCUGUAUAACAGCCAUGCUGCAGGGGGUGGUCCAAAGUGACUGGAGGGCACCAGACUGUGCUGCGGCUGCCCUUGUUGGUUAUUUGACAGUCCCCCUCUCUGCUCUCUCUCCCUUAAAAAAUAAAACACCUGUAACUCUGGUAACUGCUUUGAUCACUUGCAAAAUGCUCCAUUGGUGCAAAUUACAUAUUAAUUAGCUGUUCUGGAGAGCUAAAGUGUUUUGACACAGUGCUCUUUGUGAUUUAUCACUGGCAGUUGGUUUUUCUUUUCUUUCCCCUUCCAGCUGGCUGACUAGCUGGCCCAGUGACUCAGAAUGGGCACACAGGCAGCUGGCAAUGGAAUGAAAGAGGGAGCGCAUUGCAGCCGGCAGCAAAGGAAGAUGGUGGCAGCAGUGCCAAGCAGCUCCAAAUCGAAUCACUGUGCCCCUUGAUGAGGGCAACCAUACUGUUACGGCAGUGCAGGUAAAGCCCCUGCAAGGCUGGAAGCAGAGCAACUGUGAGGAGGGAGGGGGCGGGGUUGGAUUCUCUGCCACCUAAGGCAAAUGGCUUCAUCGCCCCUCAUGGGUAGUCCACCCCUUUCUAACAGCCUUCAUCUACCCUGUUCUACUGUUCAGGUGCGACCUUGUUAGGAUAUUUCCGUUCCACCUUAAAAGGGAGCAGGCUUUGUGAGUCACAGAGUCUGCGUAUUUCCUGUUCACAGGAAGUUUAUGUUUUGUCUAUUGCUUUCGUUUCUCUCUCUGUGCCUGAGACACCGAAGCAGGCAGUCAUGUUUUCUUUGUUCUGACCAACACUGAAUAAACUUGUAAAUAAUGCUCUCCUGAGUCCAUCUUUCGCUGUGCAUUAUCUGCUGGUAGAGCGUGCAUCAGCUCUGGAAUGUGGCAAGCUAUUUCUGGAGCUCGUGUCGCUAAUUGUUGAUACUGUGUGUCUACGGGAGACCGAUGGACGUCCGGAGGCGAGGUGGAGUCAUGAUGGACUUUGUCUCCCUGGCAGUAUCCCAACAGACCUGUCCCGUUUUGCCACCUGAGGCAAAAUGGAAAGGUGCUGCCUCUCGCAGCUGAAGCCUCUCUUGCCAGGGUCAUGUGGUGGUGGCGGCUUCCAGAAAGAUCUUACAAGAUCUCUCUGGAAGCUGCCACGGCUUCUCCUCAUUUGUGUGGCAGGGGUGGGCAGAGUGCCCACAGGGGCACCACCAUGUGGGACUCCAGCACCCAAGGCAGCUGCGCGUCCCCUUCGCCAUGCUCAGAGCACACUUAUAGAUGGGGGUUUUCUAAUCUCGUUCUGAGUGCAGAGCCAGUGGGCAGGUUAACCUAAAGUAAAAAAGCUUUGAGUCAUAUAGUGAAAAGUGGAGGGUAUUCCAGGCUUAUGGGCAUGGUGAUAUCACCAUAAGAACAUAAGAGGAGCCCUGCUGGAUCAGGCCAAUGGUCCAUCUGGUCCAGCAUCCUGUUCCCACUGUAGCCAACCAGAUGCCUGUGGGAAGCCAGCAAGCAGGGCUCAAGGAAACCUCCUAUAGUUUCCAGCAAUUGGGAUUCAGAAGCAUUGCUGCCUCCAGUUGCGAAGAUAUCCUGGCUAGUAGUCACAAUAGCCGCAUCCUCCACGAAUUUGGUAAAUCGUCUUUAAAAGCCAAACAAAUUGGUGGCCAUCACUGCCUCCUGCGGGAGUGAGUUCCAUAGCUUAAACAGAAGGGCUUUCUGUUAUCUGUCCGGAAUCUUCCAACUUCAUAGGAUGUCUCCAAGUUCUAGUGUUAUGUGAUAGGGAUAAAAAACUUUUCCCUAUCUACUUUCUCCACCCCACGUAUAAUUUUAUAAACUUCUGCCCUGUCACCUCUUCUCUAUAUUCAGGUGGGUAGCUGUGUUGGUCUGGCACAGUUGACAUAAAUUUUAAAAAAUUUAAAAAAAUGUCCAAUAGCACCUUAGAGACCAACUAAGUUUGUCCUGGGUAUAAGCUUUCGUGUGCAUGCAAGAAAAGGUAUCGGAAGAAGUGUAAAUGCACACGAAAGCUUAUACCCAGGACAAACUUAGUUGGUCUCUAAGGUGCUACUGGACAAUUUUUUUAUUUACCUCUUCUCUAUAUUCACUCAGAGCUGAAGAAGACCUAUAGGCAUAGCUGUCAACUUUUCCCUUUUUUAAAGGGAAAUUCCCUUAUUCCGAAUAGGAUUCCUCGCAAGAAAAGGGAAAAGUUGACAGCUAUGCCUGUAGGGAUUGUGACUCCUGCUCGCCUUUAGAGAGGACCAGACUCAAUGUGCGUAGUGUGUGUGUGUGUGUGUGUGUGUGUGUGUGUGUGUGUGUAAGAGAGAGAUUUUACUUUACAUGCCACUAUUCCAUGCCUAGCAAACUUCCAAAUGCACCACAAUUUUAUUCCCUGAAUAAAUGUUACAGAUGACACAGUUUUGUAAAUACCUUUAUACCCUGCCUGCUGAAUCACCAUCUCUCAGCCUAUAUUUGCAGCCUGAAAAGGACUAGACUAGAAACUUCCAUUAGAGGGGGGAAAGCUCAUAAUCAUAUAAAACCGAAUUCCCUGCAUAUGCAGGUGUGCCUACAGAAAAGCAAGGUCCAAACAGAAACCAACCAAGAUGAGUUUUUCAGUGAUGAAUAAUUCACUCUGUUUGGAUUUGUUGGUCUCUGCGGGCAGAUUGAGAUGGAUAUUCUGUGACUGAUUUUUUUUUUACAAAAAUAAAUCAUAGAAUUAGCUUUUGAGAUCUGUGGCUUGCCCUCAGAAAAAUCUGGAGUGCCCUUUGGCUGAGAGAAAAACAGCAGAAGCACACAGGGAGGCUGGCUGGCUCAGUCUGUUGUAAGAGUGUGAUAACUGAAGGGCUCCCCCUGCUGUAAAUUAGCUGUUAGGAAAUAACAGUCAAUAAAUUCAGAUUAGAACCUGUGGGGUUUGUUGUUGUUGUUGCUGCUGUUGUUUUUUAAAAAGACCCACAAGGAUAACAGAGUUGUCAGCCAUCAGGCACCUGGCUGAAAGAAAAGGGCUGUCUUUGCCUGGCACAAAAAACCCCAAACAUAUUAAGGGAGGUGACAAUAUGCUCUCUUUGGGGAGCACAUUCCUCAAAGGACGGGAGCAGGAGGAAGCACCACUGAAAAGGAUCAGGUAGCAGAUGAAAAAGCUCUCUCUCAACCCUGAGACAUUGGAGAGCUAAUUGGAAGAAAGUCAGUUCUGGACUAGAUGGCCAAAAGCGUCCGACCUGAUAUAUGACAGCUUCCAAUGUUCCAAAACUGCUCUUACUUGGGGUAAAGGUUUCUGUUGCAAUUAGCACCCAGAAGUUUUUACUCCAUGUAAAAACUUUCCAUUCCCCCUUUGCCUUUUCCCCACAGUCUGGGUCUCCUCUUUCUCACUGUUCUCAAUUAGGCUGCAUUACCUUUCUGGUGCCCCCAGUGCUGUGCUGGAGCUUCACUGCUGCAGCCGGCUUGCUUUGAAAUGCCCCCUUCAUGAAUUAUUCUGCUUUGUGGCUGUUAAUUCUGAUGCCUUCUUGCAGGAGGGCAUGUCUCUGUGUGUGUGUGUUUGUGUUUGUGUGUGUGUGUGUGUGUGUGUGUGUGUGUGUGUGUACACGUGCGUGCGUGCGCGCGCGCACACACACACACACACACACACUUGUCAAAGAAUAACUGGAAAGGUAGAUGCUUUAAUGCAUCCCCUUGCCGGCUGUGUCCCUGUAAGCAACUGAAUCCCACACCAAAGUCAGUUUGAAAAAUCCUCCUAAUCUCCACCUCUGGCUCCAUCACCACAGGUUUGACAAGAGUUAUUUCAUUUCCACCAGUUUCACAGGAGGGAUUGCAUUGAUUAUGUAUACAGGGCAAGCAAAGGUCUCCAGCACCCUGUGCAGAGCCUUUCAAACUGGAUGUUGAGCGAGGCUGCCGGGGUCACUUAAUGGUUGGCAGGGGCACAGUCUGUGGACUGCUGAUAAGAUCCUGUGGCCUCUGCUCUCAGUUUUCUCUCUCCAUUUCCGCAACCAUUUCUAAAAGAGAAUGCAAGAAAGCUAUAGAAUUCACAGCCAGGUGUUCAGUGUGGAACCAUCUCACUGAAACACAAUUAUCCUUUUUUUUUUUUUUUUUUAUGGGCUUCACCUCCAUUGCCCAUCUUUCAUACUACACAGCCAGCAGGGGGAAGCUGGGGGAGUGCUGGGGUCUCCCAAGCAGGGGCAUCAGGGAAUUCCAGCAAAAAUGGAAAAAGGAAGCAGAAAUUGCUGCAGUUCGUGCGUUCAUCUGUGGUCAGGGACAGAAAUCAGCCAAUAUAACUGGUAUUUGUUCACCUACAGUGGUACCUCGGGUUAAGUACUUAAUUCGUUCCGGAGGUCCGUACUUAACCUGAAACUGUUCUUAACCUGAAGCACCACUUUAACUAAUGGGGCCUGCUGCUGCUGCCACGCCACCGGAGCCCGAUUUCUGUUCUCAUCCUGAAGCAAAGUUCUUAACCUGAAGCACUAUUUCUGGGUUAGCGGAGUGUGUAACCUGAAGCGUAUGUAACCUGAAGCGUAUAUAACCUGAAGUACCACUGUAAUUGUUGUUGUCAUUUUAAGUCCACAAAUGAUACAUAAUGAAGUUUUUUAAAAAAAAAACAAAAAAACCACUGUUACACAAGUUACAUAAAAAGUUAUGAAAGUUAACAUUAAAAAGCAGAUGGCAAGGUGUAUGAAGUAAUAUUUGGCAGAAGCAGAGUGGAGCAGAAACGGCACUGACCAUGACAAAUACAGAAUGAAUUCUAGAAAUGGAAGGCACCCCAAGAGUCAGCUAGUCCACCCCCUGCAAUGCCAGAACCGCAACUAAAGAAUCCCUGACAAAUGACCAUUCAACCUCCGUUGAAAACUUCCAAUGGAAUGCAACAGACACCGCCUGCCAUCUUACACCCCUGGCCCAAGCUGCUCCUUUGCAGGCGCAUUUAGCCCCAAAGUAAAAAUAUAACCACAGCAAACAGCCCACGGACAAAAUAUGCAUUUCAAAGGACAUUGCCCUGCAGUCGCAACACAAAUAUAAGCAAAUGCUGCCAGGUGCACAAGCAACUAUUUCCCACCCUUUUCCUAAUUAAUCACCCACAUCCAUAUAUUCAGUUGACUUUAUCCAAAUUAUCAGUUGCUAAGGGUUCUAAAAUAUUAUUCAGCUUCCCAACAGAAUUUGUUUCAGUCAUGAACUGACAAGACAGUGGGGAGGAGGAAGAGGACCCCAGCAGGGGCAUAGCUGUGACUGGGACACACUGGGGCAAGCUGGGGAUGGGGAAGGAGAGGUUGGUGUAGAAAGUACUCACAAGGCAACAGAGGAUUGUGAGGAGAUGGGCAUCAGUUCACAGGAACCAGAGCAGCAAGACCCAUAACCAGAGCCAGAGGGGCCCCGUCUCCUCAAACACAGCAGGCUCUGAGGUGCAAGGAGCAGAAGGUAAACUCUAGGACGCUGAAGCAGACAAAGGCCCAUAGCCCAGCUCACUAGCUGGCCAGGUGGGGCUCAUUAGCUCUGGGAGGAAGUGUGUGAUUCCUCGGCUGGAGUAGGCUUGGAACAGGUGAGGGUUAUGUGCCUCAUCAAGCCCAGGUGCUGCAAUCAGCAGGCAAAGUAUAAAGGGAAACAGAGCUGAGGGGCUGGGUCUGCUCAACUUCUUGGAUAUUCCAAGACUCUCUUUGACAUUGUGCUUGUGUGCUCUGACCCCUGAAUCAGCUGCAGAGGCAGAAACCUGGCCUGACUGGACUUUGGACCUGUUGACCUGCUGGACUACACACCAGCAUCUGCCAUGGGAUUGUGGAUACCAGUGGGACUUGCCGCCAGGUACCCCAUAGUUCAGGACACCUACACCUGGGGGGAUGAUGAUGAUGAUUUAAUUUGUAUACAGCCCUAUAUCUGCAGGUUUCAGGGCGGUUACAACAUAAAUUCACAAUAUAAAAAGACAAAAUGCAUAAUAAAAAUAAACACAAAAAGAACCCAAUAAACUAACCCAUUCGUGCAAGUUCCAUUAAAGCCCUAAAGGAGGCUGAGACUAUCCGUGACAGCUGUGUUCUAUCUCCACUGUUGGAGGCAGUGAUGCCUCGGGAUACCAUUUGCUGGGAAUUGCAGGUGGGGCAAGUGGCCCUGCUUGUGGGCACCUGUUUGGCCGCUGUGGAAACAGGGAUGCUAAGAUAGAUAGGCCACUGGCCUGGUCCAGCAGGCUCGUAUUACAUGCUUGUGUUGUUCUACUUCUGUAAAUGUUGGUCUGCUUGAUUUCUCUCUCCCCUGCUACUCCCGUUUUUACUAUUGAGCGUAUAUCCCUGAACUAUAUAUUCUCUUGUUUUGCUUUAUGAUAUCGUAAACUGACUGGAGUGGGUAUUUUCUUUAGUGAGGCAGGAUAUGAAUAUGAAUUUAAAUAAUUCAGACAGGACUGUUGACCUGUUGCCUUUUAUGAUGAAGGCAUGAAAUAUAUUUAUUUUAUUUAUACAGUACUAUAGAACUAUAGAGUUCUAGUACAUAGUACAGUACUAAGAGUUUUCCCAGUAGUGAUGUAUGGAAGUAAGAGCUGGACCAUAAAGAAGGCUGAUCGCCGAAGAAUUGAUGCUUUCGAAUUAUGGUGCUGGAGGAGACUCUUGAGAGUCCCAUGGACUGCAAGAAGAUCAAACCUAUCCAUUCUUAAGGAAAUCAGCCCUGAGUGCUCACUGGAAGGACAGAUCAUGAAGCUGAGGCUCCAAUACUUUGGCCACCUCAUGAGAAGACCCUGGAAAAGACCCUGAUGUUGGGAAAGAUGGAGGGCACAAGGAGAAGGGGACGACAGAGGAUGAGAUGGUUGGACAGUGUUCUCGAAGCUACCAGCAUGAGUUUGACUAAACUGCUGGAGGCAGUGGAAGACAGAAGUGCCUGGCGUGCUCUGGUCCAUGGGGUCAUGAAGAGUCGGUCAUGACUAAGCGACUAAACAACAACAAGAGUUCUAUCCCACUUCUCCUCCCCUACCUUCCAAUGGUGAUGCUCAAAACAGCUAACAACAUAAAGCAGACAAUAUCAAAAAUUAAAAGUAGCAAUAAUCCCUCUUUUGGUUAAUGGAAUAAAUAGCCACAGACCAGCAGGAGAGAAAAACACACCACACAGAUGAGAAGAGGAGGAGGAAGGCGAAAGAGCCAAAGUAACAGAUGAUAACUUACUUAGUAGUAUUAGCAGAAUUAACAGAAGGGGAAUGUCUCCCCAGUAUUUUCAUCUUCCCUGAAGGGCUGUCACAUGAAAGAUGGAGCAAGCUUGUUUUUUGCUGCUCCAGAGGGGAAGACCCAAAGCAAUGUAUUCAAAGUACAGGAAAGAGAUUCCAACUAAACAUUAGGAAGAAUUUUCGGUGGCAAAGGAUAUUUGACAGUAGAAUGGUAGUAAACUCUUCUUCAUUGGUGGUUUUUAAGCAGAGGUUGGAUGGUCAUUGGUCAGGAGUUCCUUAGCUGCAAUUCCUGCAUUGCAGGACGUUGGACUAGAUGGCAGUAACCAAAGGGAUGUUGUUUCCAUUUGGAUGAAUGAACAGCAGAGUGUCCUUGUAAAGUUUGCUUUAUUUAUAAAUAUAUACAUUAGAGCAUAAGGGGAGGCAAAAAUCAGAUCCUCAGGAGCAGUGCCGGAUUUACGUAUAAGCUAAACAAGCUAUAGCUUAGGGCCCCCAAAAAAUUAAAGGGGGAAAAAACUGGAUGUACAUUUCCAAAAUAUAAGAUAAAAAAACCCCCUACAUACAGCAACAGAGUUUUGUGUUGUGUAAGCUCCUAUGAUGUAAGUAAUGGGCCCCGCCUGCUAUAUAAAGGGCCCCAUUACCUUCAGUCGCUUAGGGCCUCAUCAAACCUAAACCUGGCCCUGCUCAGGAGUGACCUGAGCAGCAUGCAAGUGUUGGAAGUGUGGGUGCAACUGAGCUUGCAGAAGAGGGGUUUGUGGGGGUUAAGACAGGGCCUCCAGAUUCCCAGACUAUUCCUGUACAGUGGAAGCUCGGGUUGCGAACGUGAUCCGUGCAGGAGGCACGUGCGCAGUGUUUACAACCUGCAGCACCACGUGUGCACACGCACGGGCCGCAAUUCAGCGCUUCUGCGCACCCGCAAAGCGUGAUUUAGUUAAGAACUUUGCUUCAGGAUGAGAACAGAAAUCGUGCUCUGGCGGCGCGGCAGCAGCAAGAGGCCCCAUUAGCUAAAGUGGUGCUUCAGGUUAAGAACAGUUUCAGGUUAAGAACGGACCUCCAGAACGAAUUAAGUACUUAACCUGAGGUACCACUGUACUCAAAAGGGGCUCAGUGGGGAAUUGACCCUAUUAUCCUAUUAGCAAGACUACUUCCUCCUCUCCAUGAACUCCAGCAAAAAAACUCUGAAAUAUAUAAAUCUCCCUGUUCCAAGGGCAGAAGUGCUGCUUUGAAAACACACACAUUGGCCCACUUUCCUCAGCAGGAGGAGAGGGCCCUUAAUCAAAGCACUGGUGGGUAUCUCAUUUAAUGGGUAUCUCAUUUAAAAUUGCGGAAAGAGUCACAGCUACCAGGAGGCCAUUUCUUCACCAUGAAACUGCCAGGGAUGCAACUUCCACCAGACAAUUCUAGGCAUUUAACCAGAAAUUGCAAACAACAAAAGAGUCAUCUAGUAGCUGUAACCAUAUGUGUCAUCGAGAGUAGGGGGUUUUGUGAUUGGAAGCCCCAUGUUCUUCAAAUCCCUGCUGGAAAGGGGAAGCAGCUUCGGAUAAGUCACAGGCUCUCCCUGUAGCCUUAUCAGAGGCUUAUUUUGAAGAUAAGUACACAUUGCAAGCCCUGUGCACAGAAAUGUUUUUCCAAAGCAUCAAGAUUGCAAGGGCGUUAGUGACUCUUCUGCAGCGAGGCACUUCUCUCUAACCCCCACCCCGGUCUUCCUUUCUGCAACAAACCUCAGUUUCCUCCUGUUUUCCCCCUCCAGGCCUGAGCAGAAGAAUUGAUUUCUAGUACAGCCCACCCUCUCCUUACUUUCCUACACAUCAGAAGAAGCGUCUGUUCUUCGUCAGAUCAGCAGGGCUUCCUUCCACACAGCAUGAUCAUCUCCAUUUUUUCCUCUCCAUUUAUCGGUAUCUUUUCUGCUGUGCAGCCUCCGAUCCUCAACACCCACUGAUGCUUUUUGUGUGCAGCCUCCAAGGAGGCCAUUGUUAUCAAAAAUAAUUCAGCCCAUCCUUGCCAGAUGUCCUCCCUCCUCCCCCCC
Non-coding RNA from Podarcis lilfordi (Lilford's wall lizard), 10106 nucleotides. Lineage: Eukaryota; Metazoa; Chordata; Lepidosauria; Squamata; Lacertidae. The record is from the annotation of a GenBank genome assembly.